Molecule: ribosomal RNA, 206 nt
Filed under: uncultured bacterium
Lineage: Bacteria
Description: partial 16S ribosomal RNA
Rfam family: Bacterial small subunit ribosomal RNA
Source: RNAcentral
CGUGUAGGCGGCCAAACAGGUCCGUUGUGAAAACUGGAGGCUUAACCUUCAGACGUCGACGGAAACCGUAUGGCUAGAGUCCGGAAGAGGAGAGUGGAAUUCCUGGUGUAGCGGUGAAAUGCGCAGAUAUCAGGAAGAACACCAAUGGCGAAGGCAGCUCUCUGGGACGGUACUGACGCUGAGACGCGAAAGCGUGGGAGCGAACA